UGUAGAGAGAGUGACAGGUUGU
This 22-nucleotide microRNA is filed under the name Branchiostoma floridae (Florida lancelet). RNAcentral describes it as "bfl-miR-4865-3p". Lineage: Eukaryota; Metazoa; Chordata; Leptocardii; Amphioxiformes; Branchiostomatidae. RNAcentral also lists the same sequence under 1 other name. The record is from miRBase by way of RNAcentral.